RNAcentral lists this non-coding RNA (22 nucleotides) under Rattus norvegicus (Norway rat). Lineage: Eukaryota; Metazoa; Chordata; Mammalia; Rodentia; Muridae. The record is from RNAcentral.
ACAGAAGGAUAGGUUACUGGGU